RNAcentral lists this ribosomal RNA (915 nucleotides) under uncultured Staphylococcus sp. RNAcentral's name for it is "bacterial SSU rRNA". It matches the Rfam family "Bacterial small subunit ribosomal RNA", at positions 69 to 968 of the family's 1533-position model. The record is from RNAcentral. Lineage: Bacteria; Bacillati; Bacillota; Bacilli; Caryophanales; Staphylococcaceae.
GGACGAGAAGCUUGCUUCUCUGAUGUUAGCGGCGGACGGGUGAGUAACACGUGGAUAACCUACCUAUAAGACUGGGAUAACUUCGGGAAACCGGAGCUAAUACCGGAUAAUAUUUUGAACCGCAUGGUUCAAAAGUGAAAGACGGUCUUGCUGUCACUUAUAGAUGGAUCCGCGCUGCAUUAGCUAGUUGGUAAGGUAACGGCUUACCAAGGCAACGAUGCAUAGCCGACCUGAGAGGGUGAUCGGCCACACUGGAACUGAGACACGGUCCAGACUCCUACGGGAGGCAGCAGUAGGGAAUCUUCCGCAAUGGGCGAAAGCCUGACGGAGCAACGCCGCGUGAGUGAUGAAGGUCUUCGGAUCGUAAAACUCUGUUAUUAGGGAAGAACAUAUGUGUAAGUAACUGUGCACAUCUUGACGGUACCUAAUCAGAAAGCCACGGCUAACUACGUGCCAGCAGCCGCGGUAAUACGUAGGUGGCAAGCGUUAUCCGGAAUUAUUGGGCGUAAAGCGCGCGUAGGCGGUUUUUUAAGUCUGAUGUGAAAGCCCACGGCUCAACCGUGGAGGGUCAUUGGAAACUGGAAAACUUGAGUGCAGAAGAGGAAAGUGGAAUUCCAUGUGUAGCGGUGAAAUGCGCAGAGAUAUGGAGGAACACCAGUGGCGAAGGCGACUUUCUGGUCUGUAACUGACGCUGAUGUGCGAAAGCGUGGGGAUCAAACAGGAUUAGAUACCCUGGUAGUCCACGCCGUAAACGAUGAGUGCUAAGUGUUAGGGGGUUUCCGCCCCUUAGUGCUGCAGCUAACGCAUUAAGCACUCCGCCUGGGGAGUACGACCGCAAGGUUGAAACUCAAAGGAAUUGACGGGGACCCGCACAAGCGGUGGAGCAUGUGGUUUAAUUCGAAGCAACGCGAAGAA